This is a non-coding RNA of Pelobates cultripes (western spadefoot toad), 355 nucleotides long. NCBI's taxonomy places the organism in Eukaryota, Metazoa, Chordata, Amphibia, Anura, Pelobatidae. The record is from the annotation of a GenBank genome assembly.
GUUUAGACCAACUUGCAUUUGUUUUGUUAAGCAUUUGUUUAAUAUUGUGAAAUAUGUAUUAUGGUUGUAUGUACAUCAUAUGUUCACCUCAUUACAAAGCUAACUCCAGAAUAACGACCAGCAGAGCCCACAGUCUCUCAGAGGAUGACCAGGUCUUGUAGCUGGGUUAGAAAAGGAUUCCUCCAACUAAAUUCACUCAAAAUGUAUAGGAAUAUAACUUUAUCAAAAUUAGAUUUCUGGUGUUAUUAUGGAUAACAACCAAAGCAAAAUAUGUUGUACGUAAAUUACGUGAAACAUCUCCAAAUUUGGACAAUCAUGAUAUAUAAAGAAAAGGCAUUAAACACUUAUAGUGCAG